GUGGGGUGUGCAGGAAGGAAACAAGGUCCACUUGUGCAACAGACUUUGCCUUCCCCACUGCUCCCACAAACUUGUUCUGGGUUCCCCAGCAAAAACACACACACCAAAAACACCCUCUCUGGCAGAGGGCAGGGGAGUCUUGUUGCACAAGCAACAAGUUAGCUGAAUCUUGCCCUCCCUGGGAAAGGGUUAAGUAUACAACUUGCCAUUUCUCCAUGGCAAAAAGCCUUCUUUCAAGGAUGAUUUGCAGCAGACAAGCAGCCCUCGGGACAUGCAACUGCCUAUGUGAGGGAGUUCGAGCAGCAGCUUUCCAAACCUACACUGAAGAUUGUGGUUUAACCAAUGGCCCAUCCAGUCCACCUCCACAAUGUCUAACCAGAUGCCUAUGUUAUAUUCAAUACAGAACAACAGUCUCCCUGUAAUGAGCGCCACCUGGGAAUGGUUACUUAUGCUUCAGGUUUCAUGCAACUGGUAGCAGUGGUUACAUAUCCUCAUGAUCACUGCUCCUUGUGCAUUUUUCUAAUCUAUGGGGUAUGUACCUUUGUCCUUCUUGUAGUUGUAGCAUAUGGGUUGUAAUGUGUGAAGUUUAUAUAGCUUUCAUGUAUACAGGUCAUUGUUUCAUAUUUGAAUUCUUUUGUAGUUGUGCUGAAGAAGAUUCCAGCGAAACAGUCAGAUUAUCCAGAUCACUGUCCUACGUUGUUAUCCACUUACUACUUCGGCACCAUGAACGCCUAAAAAGUUUUACCACUUAGCCCACAGGAUAGCAUCUAUCACUUUGUUUCAACCAUAGACUUAUUAUACUUCUACGGACUUUCAAAGAUUGACAGAGG
Molecule: non-coding RNA, 830 nt
Organism: Podarcis lilfordi (Lilford's wall lizard)
Lineage: Eukaryota; Metazoa; Chordata; Lepidosauria; Squamata; Lacertidae
Source: the annotation of a GenBank genome assembly